GCAUAUCAAUAAGCGGAGGAAAAGAAAAUAACAAUGAUUCCCUUAGUAACGGCGAGUGAAGGGGGAAAAGCUCAAAUUUUAAAUCUGCUAGGUUUUACUAAUCAGAAUUGUAAUUUGAAGAAGCGUUUUCCGCGUCUUGGUUGGCCCAAAUCCUUUGGGAUAAGGUAUCAUGGAGGGUGAGAAUCCCGUUCGGUUGACCUUAUGACGCUCUACGAUACGCUCUCUAAGAGUCGAGUUGUUUGGGAUUGCAGCUCAAAAUGGGAGGUAAAUUUCUCCUAAGGCUAAAUAUCGGCGAGAGACCGAUAGCGAACAAGUACCGUGAGGGAAAGAUGAAAAGAACUUUGAAAAGAGAGUAAAAUAGUACGUGAAAUUGUUGAAAGGGAAACGAUUGAAGUCAGUCGUACCGACGAGAAAUCAACUUAUCGUGUGCGAACU
This 435-nucleotide ribosomal RNA is filed under the name uncultured fungus. RNAcentral describes it as "LSU rRNA". It matches the Rfam family "Eukaryotic large subunit ribosomal RNA", at positions 38 to 469 of the family's 3401-position model. Lineage: Eukaryota; Fungi. The record is from RNAcentral.